GAUACGCGUAGCUCAGUUGGCAGAGCAUUGGGCUAGUAUUCCAAAGGUCGUAGGUUCGAUUCCCACCGUGACCG
Molecule: transfer RNA, 74 nt
Filed under: Paramuricea clavata
Lineage: Eukaryota; Metazoa; Cnidaria; Anthozoa; Malacalcyonacea; Plexauridae
Description: tRNA-Thr
Rfam family: tRNA (bases 5-70)
About the family: Transfer RNA (tRNA) molecules are approximately 80 nucleotides in length. Their secondary structure includes four short double-helical elements and three loops (D, anti-codon, and T loops). Further hydrogen bonds mediate the characteristic L-shaped molecular structure. tRNAs have two regions of fundamental functional importance: the anti-codon, which is responsible for specific mRNA codon recognition, and the 3' end, to which the tRNAs corresponding amino acid is attached (by aminoacyl-tRNA synthetases). tRNAs cope with the degeneracy of the genetic code in two manners: having more than one tRNA (with a specific anti-codon) for a particular amino acid; and 'wobble' base-pairing, i.e. permitting non-standard base-pairing at the 3rd anti-codon position.
Source: RNAcentral